UCCAGGGUAGCCUAGUGGACAUGGCAUCUGCCCGGUAAGCGGAACGUUGUGGGUUCGAUUCCCAUCCCUGGAC
RNAcentral lists this transfer RNA (73 nucleotides) under Cordylochernes scorpioides. RNAcentral describes it as "tRNA-Thr". It matches the Rfam family "tRNA". From Rfam's summary of the family: Transfer RNA (tRNA) molecules are approximately 80 nucleotides in length. Their secondary structure includes four short double-helical elements and three loops (D, anti-codon, and T loops). Lineage: Eukaryota; Metazoa; Arthropoda; Arachnida; Pseudoscorpiones; Chernetidae. The record is from RNAcentral.